Molecule: ribosomal RNA, 140 nt
Filed under: Klebsiella pneumoniae
Lineage: Bacteria; Pseudomonadati; Pseudomonadota; Gammaproteobacteria; Enterobacterales; Enterobacteriaceae
Description: partial 23S ribosomal RNA
Rfam family: Bacterial large subunit ribosomal RNA
Source: RNAcentral
GGGUUGUGAGGUUAAGCGACUAAGCGUACACGGUGGAUGCCCUGGCAGUCAGAGGCGAUGAAGGACGUGCUAAUCUGCGAAAAGCGUCGGUAAGGUGAUAUGAACCGUUACAACCGGCGAUGUCCGAAUGGGGAAACCCA